This 433-nucleotide ribosomal RNA is filed under the name uncultured Anaerovorax sp. Its description in RNAcentral is "bacterial SSU rRNA". It matches the Rfam family "Bacterial small subunit ribosomal RNA", at positions 341 to 792 of the family's 1533-position model. The record is from RNAcentral. Lineage: Bacteria; Bacillati; Bacillota; Clostridia; Peptostreptococcales; Anaerovoracaceae.
ACGGGAGGCAGCAGUGGGGAAUGUUGCACAAUGGAGGAAACUCUGAUGCAGCAACGCCGCGUGAAGGAUGAAGGUCUUCGGAUUGUAAACUUCUGUCCUUAGGGAAGAUAAUGACGGUACCUUUGGAGGAAGCCCCGGCUAACUACGUGCCAGCAGCCGCGGUAAUACGUAGGGGGCAAGCGUUAUCCGGAAUUAUUGGGCGUAAAGGGUGCGUAGGUGGUUACCUAAGCAGGGGGUGAAAGGCAUUGGCUUAACCAAUGUUAGUCCCCUGAACUGGGCUACUUGAGUACAGGAGGGGAAAGUGGAAUUCCUAGUGUAGCGGUGAAAUGCGUAGAUAUUAGGAGGAACACCGGUGGCGAAGGCGACUUUCUGGACUGUUACUGACACUGAGGCACGAAAGUGUGGGGAGCAAACAGGAUUAGAUACCCUGGUA